Gasterosteus aculeatus aculeatus (three-spined stickleback) is the source of this 5247-nucleotide long non-coding RNA. The record is from Ensembl. NCBI's taxonomy places the organism in Eukaryota, Metazoa, Chordata, Actinopteri, Perciformes, Gasterosteidae.
CUCCUCCUCCUCCUUUCAGCUCAAAUCGUGUCUGUCUUACUUCAAAAUACAAAGAGUUCAUUAGUCCUCUGAUCAUCCCUUGAUGACAUCCAGGGGGGCAACAAUUCUUGAGUUUAGUUCAAUCAGGCGAAGAUUUAUUCAGUCCAAAGGUCUCCCUCUGCAGGAAUCAUCAACCAUGAAGUUUGCGUGAUUACAUUUGGUGCAUUUGACUGACUGAGACACAAACCCUUUCUGUGGUAUUUCCUCGUGCCACGUGUCUGCAGGACACAAUAUUUACUUUGGUGAGUCGCACAGAGACUAACAAGGUGAAAACAAUAUCGGCUGCUAAUUAAAUUGACACGUACUUACUUUGUUAUUAGCCUCGAGGUGACGCCGAUCACUCAUCUUUACGACAGUGUAAAUUCAAAAAAGUCGUUUUAUUCUUGUUCAUCUCAGCUCACUAAGUGGCUGCUGGCAGUGAGGUUGACGCAUGAAAUGGAAAGAAACAGGAAAUGACUUGCUGACGCCGUCUGACCACAGCGGGAUGUCCCGACGGAGGCACGUCGACCCCCUCGCACACCUUCAAUUACUGUCAAGUCAUCACUUUGUUCUUAUUUUUUUAUUCCCCGUGUAAAAGUGUUAUUAAUGAAAUACUGAGGGAUAGCGUAGAAAAUAUUGGUUUAAUAAAAAUCGAAGUUUCUAAUCAAAACAAUAAAGCAAUAAAUCCAAGCUGCACAUCUACAUGAGAGCAGAACAGGAGAGAAGAGGACAAUCAAUACGGGUUAUUUUUUAAGGACAGUUUCACUGGGGAACUUGAACCUUUGUUCGUGUUUUCUCUUCCGACCCAGUCACCAGGAAAACAAGGUGCCGGCGUCAGAAAAGGGACGUGAGCCGGUUGCUGCGUCCGCCGUGACACCAGGAGGACGAUUCGACAGGAUGGUUUCCACCGGACGACGUUUCACGCCACCUUGUUUACUGGUUUUAUCACAUCCAAAGUCUCCUCUUUUAUACAUAGUUUAUACUUUGUGUUGGUAAAUUAGACCAGUGGUGAACACUUCAAUUACUGAUUAUUUUAGAUGUCUAAAGUAGAUCUACAGCAGAGCCAGGCAGCAUCCCCGUCCUCCAGAGUAAAGCCGAAGCAGAAGUUCUCAUUUUUAAAGGUCUGAAAGCCAUUUGACUUAUUCAUUCAAUAAAUAAACAUUACACCUGAGUACACAGCAUGAUGUUCAUUUAGUAGAUUAUGAUCCAUUAGAGUCAAACAGACCAUGUAGCAGGGAUGCCUUAGGGCGGGACUACUGUGAUUGACAGGGUACUACUGCCACCGGAGACGUAUUACAAACACGUUCACGUCCGUUCGCUGUUAGAAAAGGUCAAGCUGAACUCCGGGCUUUAAAACAGCAUCCCCAAACCACUGUCGCCAUGACAACAUCCACUCUUCAUACACAGCGUGUGGCUGGUGCUUUUAUUCAGAUUUCCAUCUACUGCGCACAGCACACACACUAAGGAUACAUUCUUCACACUGGCUGACUGUGUGAGUCUGACAAUUACAGUUUAAAGUGUGAUAAACACUAAAAUCCACACAUGUGUUGUGAGUCAUUGUGUUAAUUAAUUGCAUCUCAGGAGCUCUCUUGAUUGCGCUUCGUUCCUCGUCGUCGCCUCUUUCUUGUCUCGUGAAUUCUGUUUCUUUGUUUCCUUUUUCCCGAUCAAAUCAGGAGAACGUCGGAGUGGAGAGCAGACGGUCGGCCGCGCGUCUCCCAAUUACAGGGAAGUGUUUGCAAAGAGGGGCUGGGAUCCACUGCUGCCGAAUACACAAACAUUCAGCCUUCAACGCACUUGUCCAUUAAGGCGGCUUCCGUUGGAGAGAUUGGCCCCUUCGCCUGUGCGACGGAGUCUUCAUGUGACACGGCAAGUCGGUUUGCUCUUUAAAAGAUGUUCUUCGGAAAAAGGUUGUUGAGAAGCUUCGAGUAACAUCUCCUUUUAAAGAUAACUCAAAUACAGCAACCAAGCUGCUGCAGAGUCCAAAUCUGUUCUUUUGAAACAGAAUACAUAAUUCCCCUACGCAGCCAGCCGGUCUCUCAGGUCAGCUGACCAGCUGCUCCUGAGGGUUCGGAAAACAAGGCUGAAGCUCAGAGGGCAACGAGCAUUUUCUGUUAUGGAACGAACUGCCGCUGAACAUUAGACCUCCUCACUGUCUCAUGUCAAAACUCUUCCUCAAACGCACCUUUUUUCUUUGGCUUUUAACACUACGUAGGUUGUUGAUUUCAUGUGCACGAAUAUUUUAUCUGGCGAGAGUCGAUUUAUUUAUUUAUUAUGUUUUAUUGUGUUGAUUUUACUGUACAGCACUUUGGGAACCUUUGUGCUUUAGGAAUAAGAACGGAGCUAAUUAAAAAAGAGGAGGCGUAUCUUUUUUCCGUAUUGAACGCUAUGCGGACGGAGCACAUGCUUUUAGGAAAGCAGAACUAAACAUUAAAGUGUCACUGUGAGCCUGUAAUCAGUGGACUUAUGAGGAAAAUGUGCUUUUUAUGCGACGAGGCCGUAGCUGCAGUGCAGUGCAGGAGAAACCCUUUAUUUGUUGUGCGGACGGGAUUAUGGUUCUAAAUCAGCCUCUUUAUUGGUAAAAGAUUGAACUCUUUAUUCCAUUCAUCACGGCAUCUGCUUUAAAAUGGGAUCAGACAAUCAUGGAUCUGCAGCAGAAUUGCAGAAAUAGUGAGACUGGAUUGCCUGUAAAAAAGCAAAAGGUCGGUGUGACAAAUGGAAGAAUAGCUUUGCGUUAUGUCUCCUCUGCAGCGAUGCAUCCACACUGCGCACUGCUGUGUAGGUACGGAAUAGAGCGUAGAUGAAUUAUCCUGAUGCAGAUUGUAAAAGAAGAGUCCUUGUUGGACUUUUAGCCGUGUGUUUAGGUCCGCUGGGUGUGAUGGACGCGUGUACUGUCAUGAUUUAUUCACCACAGGACAGAGUUCUUCUCCCAUCCGACACCAGUGAUUAACGCCGGAGUUUUCGGGGCAUAAUCACAAUCUUUCCCUUUCCGCAUUAACGCCCAUUUUUUGAAGUGCUCUGUUUUGGGAAAUUAACAUUUAUUCUCUCAAUUGAUAUUUCUGAAAAUCCUUUUAAAAAAAAGUUUGGAGCGUGAAACCAAACCAUCCGACAAGAAGAUGAAUUGUGACCAUUACACAUGGAUUCAGAGCAAAAAUGAUAAUGGGAAAGACUGUGAACAUAAUUAGUUUAAUAGUGAAGAAACUACUCAUCCCGUGAACUAUUUUAAAUGGCAAUCACUCCCUCUGUAGAAAAUAAACUAAUUAUUGUGAAUCUAAAAGGCAGUUUUCAGUAAAUCAUUUCCGUAAUCUGAGAAAGUUUCCGAAGUGAAAUCCUGGAGUUGCAUCUACGUGGAUGACAACCACGCUCGCAUCAAACAUACUUAACACACAGUCUUUGCGGAAUGCUUCAUGUUGAGGGAAAAGCAUUAAAGUCACACAGCGAACUGUUUGUUUACAAGAAGAGCCGCCAUGUGCCGCUCGGCUCUGGUUUGUUUUGACAGAUGCCAGUUGAAGCUCCGCUGAAGAGCAAACACAAGAAAUGUAAAAGACAGAAAAACACCCAGCAAUGCAACACACACACACACACACACACACACGUAUAGAUGCAUUACGAAGGCCUCCAUGUCUGGUUCCUCUCGCGGGUCUUUAGUCCCCGCGGAACUGCUUAUGAGGACAUGUUUAAAAAGGAGAGUUAACUUAAACUCCGGGUCGGUUACCGCGGUAACUGACUCUGUGAACCCGAACCGCACGCCGGCGGCUCACAGUCCGAUAGCAGUGCGUCACAGCGUGAAAGAGGAGGAAUUAAUGGACGGCACAGGGGGAAACUCUACGGCGUAACUCACUGACGCUUUCCCCGCUUUAAUCCAGGCUCUUGUUUAAAGAUAAAUUUGCACAGCCCACACAUGGCCUAGAAACACUAAUAUCUCCACGUACACUAGAAUAGAAUGGCUUUAGGAUUAAGAUGUCCUUUCUCAUUCUCCACACAUGAGCUCAACUCAGAGUGAAUAAACUCUGAGUUGAAUUAAACAAACUGUGAUCAGCUGUUCUAGAACCAAAGGUCACACAGCUUUCCACCUCAGGGUUAAUUAACUCAGAGUUCAAGGUUAAUUAACUCAGAGUUCAGGGUUAUUUUAGAGUUCAGGGUUAAUUAACUCAGAGUUCAGGGUUAUUCAACUCAGAGUUCAAGGUUAAUUAACUCAGAGUUCAGGGUUAUUUUAGAGUUCAGGGUUAAUUAACUCAGAGUUCAGGGUUAUUCAACUCAGAGUUCAGGGUUAUUUUAGAGUUCAGGGUUAAUUAACUCAGAGUUCAGGGUUAUUUAACUCAGAGUUCAGGGUUAAUUAACUUUGAGUUCAGGGUUAAUUAACUCAGAGUUCAGGGUUAUUUAACUCAGAGUUCAGGGUUAAUUAACUUCGAGUUCAGGGUUAAUUAACUCAGAGUUCAGGGUUAAUUAACUCAGAGUUCAGGGUUAUUCAACUCAGAGUUCAAGGUUAAUUAACUCAGAGUUCAGGGUUAUUUUAGAGUUCAGGGUUAAUUAACUCAGAGUUCAGGGUUAUUUAACUCAGAGUUCAGGGUUAAUUAACUUUGAGUUCAGGGUUAAUUAACUCAGAGUUCAGGGUUAUUUAACUCAGAGUUCAGGGUUAUUUAACUCAGAGUUCUGGGUUACUUAACUCAGAGUUCAGGGUUAUUUAGUUCAGGGUUAAUUAACUCAGAUUUCAGGGUUAAUUAACUCAGAGUUCAGGGUUAAUUAACUCAGAGUUCAGGCUUAGCCUCACAGUUUGUGAAACCUUUCUAAAAGGCGUGUAGUUUUUCCCCCUUUUUGUGAGCCAGACACAGUUUUAUUUGGUCCCAAUUGUGACCCUUCAUAGUUUUAAUCCUUGUAUCAUAAUCUAUUCCGGAUAAUCUAAAAUCACUCUUUAGUUUUUAGUCCGUGAGAAUAAAACCUCUGAAUGUCCUCCCUUUGCAAGAACGAGUUAUUUUUAUAUGAAUUCUUGUCUCUGUGAGCUGAUGGAAGAUAAUUAUACUUUUUGAGAUUACAUCUUAUCAUUCCUGAAUCACUGAGGCUGAACGCUGUCUGACAUAAAGUCGACUUAUUUUACUGGAUCAUAAUGUGAGCUUCAAUCAUGCCUCUAAAGACUAUUGAUCGGUCCAUUUUUAAAUAACAAAUUCUAUGUGUAUUAUAUUAUAUUUGUUAUUUUUAAAAGUGUACAGUCUUACAUAUAUAUAUAUAUAUAUA